This 253-nucleotide ribosomal RNA is filed under the name uncultured bacterium. RNAcentral describes it as "partial 16S ribosomal RNA". It matches the Rfam family "Bacterial small subunit ribosomal RNA", at positions 524 to 776 of the family's 1533-position model. The record is from RNAcentral.
UACGGGGGGUGCAAGCGUUGUUCGGAAUUACUGGGCGUAAAGGGCUCGUAGGUGGCCAACUAAGUCAGACGUGAAAUCCCCAGGCUCAACUUGGGAACUGCGUCUGAUACUGGAUGGCUUGAAUUCGGGAGAGGGAUGCAGAAUUCCAGGUGUAGCGGUGAAAUGCGUAGAUAUCUGGAGGAAUACCGGUGGCGAAGGCGGCAUCCUGGACCGAGAUUGACACUGAUGAGCGAAAGCUAGGGGAGCAAACGGG